This is a long non-coding RNA of Leopardus geoffroyi (Geoffroy's cat), 1814 nucleotides long. RefSeq lists it as uncharacterized. The record is from RefSeq and is a predicted model, not a curated record. The transcript is spliced from 3 exons. Lineage: Eukaryota; Metazoa; Chordata; Mammalia; Carnivora; Felidae.
UGUGUGUGUGUGUGUGUGUGUGCGCACACUAGAUUUUUGUUCUAUUUACUGCCAGCGUAAUUUUUUUAGGCUGCAAGACACUGCAAAGCUGUCCACAGUGACUGGAUUUUGAACUCUGUGACAAACAAAAUUCAAAACCAUUUCUCUGUGUCUUUGGGGGCUUCCAGAGUCAAAGCUGCCAGCUACGCAGCCUAGUGCCUAAGACGUCAGCCCAGGAGAGACACCUGCCCUGCAGCCCGAAACUGAUAAAACAUGCGGAAAGACCCAAAGGGCACAAAGUCUUUGCCUAGCUCAGUGGGAGCUUUCCAAGCCUAAUAUUUUAAAACUGCUUCACACAAGCGGCGGCUGAGUCCCGAGGGCCUUGCUGUGCGCUACGACAAUUUUCUGAUUGCUGUGACAUGAGUGUGGGACUAUCUUCUGGCACCGGCUGACACGGCCACGGGCAGCUGAAGAAGUGAGUCAUCUUCACGGGUCCAGGCGCACGGAGUGCUUCACAUCACCAGAGCCCUCGGAAUCCUGGAAUUCUUCCUGGCAGCUUAUUUCCAGAACAAAACUACAGAAUGAGGAUAAAAGAUGUACCCCUUGACAAUCUGACCACACUUCCCGAAGGAGGAUGUUUCGGAGGCACAAAACCCCCAUGCAGCCUUUGCGUGCGGCCACAUGACAUCUUCCCUGACAGGGAUCAGACGUUCAUUUAGGGUGUGGAGAUUCACUAGUACAACGGCAUUCUCGGUGACAAGGAAACUGGAUUUCAAUUUCUUACAUAGUUUAUGAAUUUUAAGAAAUUCGUUUGCUGAAUAGGUGAGGGUAAAAAUACACGCUGUAAAUGAGUAAAAUAAAAUAAGUGUCCUUGCGGUGCUGGGAUACUCACCCAAUUUUCUAAGAGCGGCAUCUGUUAGGAUCAGACCGGCAGGGAGUCUGGUUUAAAGAAAAGGGCACUAAAUGAAGAGCCAAAAUAACAGGAUUCUAGACUCAGUGCUGCUACUAAGAGCAACUAGGGAUUUUUUUGUAGGUGUGUGUUUUCACUAGGACAUAAAGAAAGCGAGUGUCUGAAAGUAGAAAUAGUGGCCCUGGUAACGGGCCUGCCUUGGGCUCCUGGUCUCUGUCCGCAGAGCUCAGAGGAGCCUCUGCCCAGCCCCACGGCAUCACCAUGAGCCCAGCACCACUCAGCUCUCUCUGCCAGCCAGCUUCCUCAGCCCCUGCAAGGCACCCAGGAUGGGGGCGGGGAGCAAGACAACCGGUUGGAGUCCCCGUGUUCCCCGAGGGCCUGAUGCCAAGGCCCAGCUCCGCCUCUGGAGCUCCAGCCACAAACCUUGCCCCAUGACCUCUGCCAGAUGGCUUUGAAGGUGAUCCAACAGUCCCUUUAUCUGUACAUACUGAGGGGGUGGGGACAGCUGGCAGGCCUGGCGCUGCCUCUCUGCACUGAGCACAGCCUGAGCGCCCCAGCCCUGUAAACACUGGAUCAAUGAAUGCAUAGAAACUUCCCUAAGAAAUGACAAAGAAAAGAUGGGGAAGGUUACCCGCUAACAGGUUUGUUGAGCAAACUACAAAAAUGUAUUACUUACAUUUGACAUGUUCUAAUUCAUUCCUGUUAUAUUGUUAGGAUACAUUUUGCUAUUAAGAAUAAAACUGUAGGCUAAAAUUUUGAAAUGGAAAAGAUAAUCUCUUUAAUUGGCUAGCCUUCUGGAAGAUCUCUAGGAUAAUCCCAACACCCUGAUAAAAGUAUACAGUAUAGCAACUAAGUCAUAACACCCCAAAACACAGUAACGGGGAAACAAAGAAUUUUUCAUGAAAGAAGCAAGAAUAUGGUUAUA